RNAcentral lists this long non-coding RNA (833 nucleotides) under Anser brachyrhynchus (Pink-footed goose). RNAcentral's name for it is "lncRNA (ENSABRG00000021616.1)". Lineage: Eukaryota; Metazoa; Chordata; Aves; Anseriformes; Anatidae. The record is from RNAcentral.
ACAUCCUAAGGACCUUACAGAGCCUCUUAGGAGCGUGUGGGCUCCCGGCCCUGGUGAAGCAGAAGCUGCCUGCAGGCAGAGCAACCCCCACUUGGGCAGCUCGAUGAAGACAUCACUCGUCAGGCAUCAGCCCUCUCCAGUACCCCUCAUGUGUCCUGCCACUCCAGUCCCCACAACUGCUGCCCUCAGUUAACUACACAGGAACAUCAGUGCCUCGUCCUCCCCGAGUGGCUGCAGUUUUGGGGUGCCAUGGGCUGCCCGGAUGCUGUGGGCACGGAGCAGAAAGGCGCAGCUGCCUGCUGAUGGAGAGCAGCACCAGGAACGAGCAGGAGAGCCUUGCUCUAAGGAACCCAGAAAGGCAAUUCCAACAGUCCCUCGGGAAAGGGGCUGCAACGCUCUGAGUACAAUACGAAGGCAGCUGAACCUAUCUCAUGAAAUCUUGGCCAAAAUAUGGAGAAUAUGGAAUACCUGGUAUGGCAAAAGGCUUUCUCUGUUAAACGUGUCAAAGAAGGUUGUAAAUACUUUGGGGGUGCAAAAAUCAAGUUCUUUCACUAGCUGACUCUUAACUGCACUACCCUUCUGAAAGCACAAUGUAAAAAAUUUGGGGGUGGGGGUGGAAACUGGGAAGCUGCAAAUUCUCUUUUAAGAGCUUGGAGCAGAUCGAAGCCCUCUUGUUUCAGGAUGCAAACUGGCUUGUUACAGAGGAUUUGGGGAAAAAACUCCCUUGGAACAGCUGGAGCCGAUCCCCAUCGGAGUCAGAAUGCAGGGCCAGGUGGUCAGGUCUGGUUCGAUAAUUAUAUAUAUAUAUUUAUUUAUUAUUUAAAUGAAAAUAC